This 290-nucleotide long non-coding RNA is filed under the name Musa acuminata (dwarf banana). Its description in RNAcentral is "long non-coding RNA (MACU_LNC006600)". The record is from RNAcentral. Lineage: Eukaryota; Viridiplantae; Streptophyta; Magnoliopsida; Zingiberales; Musaceae.
CUCGCCAAAAAGGGGCCGAUGCCCUUCCUCGAGGCUGCCAUCGACCUCGUUAGACGGCAGUCAGAUUUCUUCACAGAUGAGGCGGCGGUGACAAAGGUCGUACGAGCGGUGACCGCCGCCAAGGAGAAGGUCGACGCCGAGGAGAGGCUGAAGAAAAGGGCGGCAGAUGAGGCUGCCAAGGCCGAGAAGCGGCUCAAGGAGGCGGCACAGAAGGCCGCUGAGAAGACGGAGGCCAAGGAUCAGAAGACGGAGGCCGCUGCGGCGGCCAAGGAUGAGGAGAAGGAGGGUGU